RNAcentral lists this unclassified non-coding RNA (206 nucleotides) under fungal sp. RNAcentral's name for it is "partial internal transcribed spacer region". The stretch from base 1 to 46 matches the Rfam family "Eukaryotic small subunit ribosomal RNA", at positions 1786 to 1831 of the family's 1831-position model. Lineage: Eukaryota; Fungi. The record is from RNAcentral.
AAGUCGUAACAAGGUUUCCGUAGGUGAACCUGCGGAAGGAUCAUUAUCGUAGGGGGCUCUGCCCCGAUAAGAUACCCCUGUCUAUGAGUACUCUUGUUUCCUCGGCAAGCCUGCUUGCCAAUGAGGACCCCAUCAACCCUUUUUAUAUUAUGGUAACCGUACUAAACAAAUAAUCAAAACUUUCAACAACGGAUCUCUUGGUUCUG